UGGGGAAUUUUGGACAAUGGGCGAAANCCUGAUCCAGCAAUGCCGCGUGUGUGAAGAAGGCCUUCGGGUUGUAAAGCACUUUUGUCCGGAAAGAAAUCCUUGGCUCUAAUACAGUCGGGGGGAUGACGGUACCGGAAGAAUAAGCACCGGCUAACUACGUGCCAGCAGCCGCGGUAAUACGUAGGGUGCAAGCGUUAAUCGGAAUUACUGGGCGUAAAGCGUGCGCAGGCGGUUUGCUAAGACCGAUNUGAAAUCCCGGGCUCAACUGGGAACUGCAUUGGUGACUGGCAGGCUAGAGUAUGGCAGAGGGGGGUAGAAUUCCACGUGUAGCAGUGAAAUGCGUAGAGAUGUGGAGGAAUACCGAUGGCGAAGGCAGCCCCCUGGGCCAAUACUGACGCUCAUGCACG
RNAcentral lists this ribosomal RNA (407 nucleotides) under uncultured bacterium. RNAcentral's name for it is "partial 16S ribosomal RNA". It matches the Rfam family "Bacterial small subunit ribosomal RNA", at positions 355 to 755 of the family's 1533-position model. The record is from RNAcentral.